RNAcentral lists this ribosomal RNA (301 nucleotides) under uncultured fungus. Its description in RNAcentral is "eukaryotic LSU rRNA". The stretch from base 187 to 301 matches the Rfam family "5.8S ribosomal RNA", at positions 1 to 123 of the family's 154-position model. The record is from RNAcentral. Lineage: Eukaryota; Fungi.
UCCGUAGGUGAACCUGCGGAAGGAUCAUUAAAGAUUCGACCUUUUGGUCUAUCUCUCUUCAGCUGUGCGCUUAGGCUGCACGCUGUUGAACCUUUCACACCUGUGCACCAUUCGGUUGCGGUUUCGGCCGCUUCCGCUUUUACACAUACAACCACAGUCCAGAAUGUAAACACAAUAACAAAUAACAACUUUCAACAACGGAUCUCUUGGCUCUCGCAUCGAUGAAGAACGCAGCGAAAUGCGAUAAGUAAUGUGAAUUGCAGAAUUCAGUAUACCCGCUGAACUUAAGCAUAUCAAUAAG